GAUGAACGCUGGCGGCGUGCCUAAUACAUGCAAGUCGAACGAACAGACGAUACCCUUGCUUGCUACACCAUAGACGGUGAGUUGCGAAUGGGUGAGUAACGCGCAGCUAAUCUGCCUGGGAUCGGGGGAGAACAACUGGAAUCGUAAGCUAAUACAGCAUAAUAUUAAUUAUUGCACGGUAAUUAACUGAAUUGCGCAAUUGCAUCACUACCAGAGCGCCCCGCGUUGUAUUAGCUAGUAGGUGAGGUAACGGCUCACCCAGGCGACGAUGCAUAGCCGACCUGAGAGGGUGAUCGGCCACACUGGAACUGAGACACGGCCCAGACUCCUACGGGAGGCAGCAGUAGGGAAUCUUCGGCAAUGGGCGAAAGUCUGACCGAGCAACGCCGCGUGAGUGAAGAAGGUCUUCGGAUCGUAAAACUCUGUUAUUAGGGAAGAACAAAUGUGUAAGUAGAAAGUUCCGUCUGGACGGUAACUAUACAGAAAGGCAAGGGUAACUUAGGG
This 504-nucleotide ribosomal RNA is filed under the name uncultured bacterium. Its description in RNAcentral is "partial 16S ribosomal RNA". It matches the Rfam family "Bacterial small subunit ribosomal RNA", at positions 28 to 507 of the family's 1533-position model. The record is from RNAcentral.